Molecule: unclassified non-coding RNA, 286 nt
Filed under: Hevea brasiliensis (rubber tree)
Lineage: Eukaryota; Viridiplantae; Streptophyta; Magnoliopsida; Malpighiales; Euphorbiaceae
Source: RNAcentral
AAAAAAAAAAAAAAAAAGAACCAAUACUAUUUCAAGAGUAAUACAAAGCAAAUGGUUUUAACAUAAAAUUCCUCACUGGCUGAGUUAGCCCCUGAAAUACAGUCAGCCAUCAUUAUGUAGUCAUUAAUUUAGGAAAAAAAAAAGGUUACCUCUUUUAACUUCUGAAAUUUCAGGCAAAUUAUCUGAUAAGCCAACCACUUCUAAAGCAAUUACUAACAAAGUUCAGACUGUUCGCAACUUUCAAACACCAUAACCCAAUUGAAAAUCAGCAGACAAUAAAAAAAAU